CUCUUUUCCAAAAACUUCGCGACUCAAUUUCGGAAAUUCCUAAAUUUUUGAAAAUCAAGCUUCAAUCACUGUGUGUGGCAACUAGCCCCAAAGCACGUAUUCUGCGGCAAGCAGAUAGUAGAAAUCGCUACGCAGUGUGCUGUGUGCACCUUCAAUGAAGGUUACGCCCCAAUUUUAAAAAUUUUGGAGACG
Molecule: long non-coding RNA, 192 nt
Filed under: Neodiprion lecontei (redheaded pine sawfly)
Lineage: Eukaryota; Metazoa; Arthropoda; Insecta; Hymenoptera; Diprionidae
Description: uncharacterized LOC124292644
Source: RNAcentral